GAAGAUGUAACGGGGCUAAACCAUGCACCGAAGCUGCGGCAGCGAACGUAUCACUUAAAGCGAUUCAGCGGGUUACGAUUGACGGAGCGAAGCGACGUCAAAGCGUAUACAAAGUCGAGUCGGUUUAAGGAUACGUUCGUUGGGUAGGGGAGCGUUCUGUAAGCCUGUGAAGGUGGCCUGUGAGGGUUGCUGGAGGUAUCAGAAGUGCGAAUGCUGACAUAAGUAACGAUAAAGCGGGUGAAAAGCCCGCUCGCCGGAAGACCAAGGGUUCCUGUCCAACGUUAAUCGGGGCAGGGUGAGUCGACCCCUAAGGCGAGGCCGAAAGGCGUAGUCGAUGGGAAACAGGUUAAUAUUCC
This 356-nucleotide ribosomal RNA is filed under the name Salmonella enterica subsp. enterica serovar Thompson. RNAcentral describes it as "bacterial LSU rRNA". It matches the Rfam family "Bacterial large subunit ribosomal RNA", at positions 1166 to 1439 of the family's 2925-position model. Lineage: Bacteria; Pseudomonadati; Pseudomonadota; Gammaproteobacteria; Enterobacterales; Enterobacteriaceae. The record is from RNAcentral.